Molecule: long non-coding RNA, 987 nt
Organism: Grammomys surdaster
Lineage: Eukaryota; Metazoa; Chordata; Mammalia; Rodentia; Muridae
Exons: 3
Source: RefSeq, a predicted model, not a curated record
AGGCCCUGCAGGGAGCAGAGAAGCAAGACUGAUAAACAAGCACUCUGGGUCGACUUCCACGCGCCAUCUGCAGGCCACUGGAUCUGGCCGACAGAGAGCUGACACUGGGACUCACGAGGUGUGACAUGGGAAGAGGCAGAAGAGAAAAAGAAGUUAGUGUCUGUCACCACAAACAUUGGGAAGAAAGGACAGGAGAAACCGGGCAAACCUGGCCAAGCAUAGGUCUGGAGAGCGAUGAACUGAUUCUACAGAAGAGUGCCAGUGGAAUGCAGUAAACAGCAGUCCUCGGUCCCAACCACUUAUUGAAUAUACUGGUGCUUUCCAAAGGAACCUCAGAGACCAUUUAGUUAUAGAUCAAGAGGCCUGGAGGGCCUGCUAGCCUAGAGUCUCAGCUACUUAAGGCUCCUCUCACCAGUAAUGAGGUUGACACUACACCAGUCCACUUGCUUUCAAGCUGCUUUGUUGUUUCCUUCAAGGAUGCAUGUACAUGCCCUUCCCCCAGCAAACUGGAGACUGCCUCAGGACCCCAAAGGCCUUUUGGAAAAGAAUUCUAGGGGCUGGGAUACAACUCGGUUGGUAGGGUGCUUGCCUAGUUGCAUGAAGCCCUUGGUUUAAUCUCCUGCACUACAUAAACUAGGCAUGGUAGCUCAUGACUGUAAUUUCUGCACUAGAGAGAUUGAAAUCACGAGUUCAAGGCUAUCCUUGGCCACACAGUGAGUUAAGGACAGACUGGUAUACAUGAGAUCACGUCACAAUAAAACAAAUAUAAAACACAAACCCCCACAGCAGAGGGGGAUAAAGAACUUUAGAGCUAGGCAUUGUGUCAUAUCUAUGUAAGUCUAGCACUAGGGAAGGCAGAGGCAAGAGGAUACUUGCAUCAAGCUGUAUGACAAAGCCUUGUCUCAGGGAAGGAGAGAAUAGAAUUCACAUUAUCAGUUCUUCUAUAUUAUUCUGACUCAGGUUUAUUUUGUAAUUCUCAUGCAUAAG